RNAcentral lists this ribosomal RNA (1410 nucleotides) under metagenome. RNAcentral's name for it is "bacterial LSU rRNA". It matches the Rfam family "Bacterial large subunit ribosomal RNA", at positions 1526 to 2925 of the family's 2925-position model. The record is from RNAcentral.
CCUUCUUUAGGCAAAUCCGGAGAGUCAAUGUCAAGGCGUGAUAACGAGUGAGCUUGCUCAUGAAGUGACUGAUACCAUGCUUCCAAGAAAAGCCACUAAGCUUCAGUUAAGUUGAGACCGUACCGCAAACCGACACAGGUGGGCAGGAUGAGAAUUCUAAGGCGCUUGAGAGAACCCAGGAGAAGGAACUCGGCAAACUAGCACCGUAACUUCGGGAGAAGGUGCGCCCCGGUAGGUUGUAGCAAUUUACUUGCGAAGGCCGAUGGGGUUGCAGUGGAAAGGUGGCUGCGACUGUUUAAUAAAAACACAGCACUGUGCAAUCACGAAAGUGGACGUAUACGGUGUGACGCCUGCCCGUGCCGGAAGGUUAAAUGAUGGGGUGCAAGCUCUUGAUUGAAGCCCCGGUAAACGGCGGCCGUAACGAUAACGGUCCUAAGGUAGCGAAAUUCCUUGUCGGGUAAGUUCCGACCCGCACGAAUGGCGUAACGAUGGCCUCACUGUCUCCUCUUGGGACUCAGCGAAGUUGAAAUGUUUGUGAAGAUGCAAUCUACCCGCGGCUAGACGGAAAGACCCCAUGAACCUUUACUGUAGCUUUACAUUGGACUUUGACAAGAUCUGUGUAGGAUAGGUGGGAGGCAUUGAAGCGUGGUCGCUAGAUCAUGUGGAGCCAACCUUGAAAUACCACCCUGAUGUUGUUGAGGUUCUAACCUAGACCCCGAAACGGGGUUGGGGACCGUGUAUGGUGGGCAGUUUGACUGGGGCGGUCUCCUCCCAAAGAGUAACGGAGGAGUGCGGAGGUAACCUAGGUACGGUCGGAAAUCGUACUGAUAGUGCAAUGGCAUAAGGUUGCUUGACUGCGAGACGGACAGGUCGAGCAGGUGCGAAAGCAGGUCAUAGUGAUCCGGUGGUUCUGUAUGGAAGGGCCAUCGCUCAACGGAUAAAAGAUACUCUGGGGAUAACAGGCUGAUUCCUCCCAAGAGUUCAUAUCGACGGGGGAGUUUGGCACCUCGAUGUCGGCUCAUCACAUCCUGGGGCUGUAGCCGGUCCCAAGGGUAUGGCUGUUCGCCAUUUAAAGUGGUACGUGAGCUGGGUUCAAAACGUCGCGAGACAGUUUGGUCCCUAUCUGCCGUGGGCGUUGAAGUUUGAGGGGGGCUGCUCCUAGUACGAGAGGACCGGAGUGGACAGAUCUCUGGUGGACCGGUUGUCAUGCCAAUGGCAUAGCCGGGUAGCUAAAUCUGGAAGAGAUAAGCGCUGAAAACAUCUAAGCGCGAAACUCGCCUCGAGAUGAUACUUCCCUGUGCUUUAAGCACACUAAAGAGUCGUUCAAGACCAGGACGUUGAUAGGUCAGGUGUGGAAGCGUAGUAAUACGUUAAGCUAACUGAUACUAAUUGCUCGUGAGGCUUGAUCCU